UACAGAGGUCUCAAGCGUUGUUCGGAUUCAUUGGGCAUAAAGGGUGCGUAGGCGGCGGGGCAAGUCGGAUGUGAAAUCUCAGGGCUCAACCCUGAAACUGCAUUCGAUACUGCCUUGCUCGAGGACUGGAGAGGAGAUUGGAAUUCACGGUGUAGCAGUGAAAUGCGUAGAUAUCGUGAGGAAGACCAGUGGCGAAGGCGGAUCUCUGGACAGUUCCUGACGCUGAGGCACGAAGGCCAGGGGAGCAAACGGG
This 253-nucleotide ribosomal RNA is filed under the name uncultured bacterium. Its description in RNAcentral is "partial 16S ribosomal RNA". It matches the Rfam family "Bacterial small subunit ribosomal RNA", at positions 524 to 776 of the family's 1533-position model. The record is from RNAcentral.